UUCUGCUUCCUAUCUCUGUUCACCACACCCUGCCAGCUCGCAUAUUUCAUUGGGUCCUUCUGUGCAUCAGACUUAACAGCUGUGGUACUCUAACAUGAUGGCUUUUGGAGCUCAGUGAAACAAAGGAUUAAAGAGACGAGUGAGACGCUGAAGUGUGUGAUUCAAUGAAAACCAGCCACUCAGGCCUGUUUCGGAGUGCAAACACUUAGGAGUAGAAUCACUGUCGGAGCAAACAGACCUGAGUGACUCUGGAGGCCAUUCUCACGCCAUCUCUUCUCACUCCAGCUGUUUAUCCAUAGUAAACAUCUGAAGUAGUCUCCUGCUCUUUGUACAGCAAUCACAUUUGUGACAAUAUGGCCUUUUUUUUAAUGUAACAAUUGAAAUUAUUUAAUUUUUAGGUAUUCCAUGUAUGAGAUUUUUCACUUUUCCUGUUUUACGAG
Molecule: long non-coding RNA, 440 nt
Organism: Monopterus albus (swamp eel)
Lineage: Eukaryota; Metazoa; Chordata; Actinopteri; Synbranchiformes; Synbranchidae
Exons: 3
Source: RefSeq, a predicted model, not a curated record